AUACGGAGGGUCCAAGCGUUGUUCGGAAUUAUUGGGCGUAAAGCGGGUGUAGGCGGUUUUGCAAGUCGGGUGUGAAAGCCCUGGGCCCAACCCAGGAAUUGCAUCCGAUACUGCAUCACUAGAGUCCCUGAGAGGAUGGCGGAAUUCCAGGUGUAGAGGUGAAAUUCGUAGAUAUCUGGAGGAACACCAGUUGCGAAGGCGGCUACCUGGACCGGUACUGACGCUGAGGUGCGAAAGCGUGGGGAGCAAACAGCAGUAGAAACCCCAGUAGUCC
RNAcentral lists this ribosomal RNA (274 nucleotides) under uncultured bacterium. Its description in RNAcentral is "partial 16S ribosomal RNA". It matches the Rfam family "Bacterial small subunit ribosomal RNA", at positions 523 to 796 of the family's 1533-position model. The record is from RNAcentral.